Molecule: long non-coding RNA, 654 nt
Organism: Balaenoptera musculus (blue whale)
Lineage: Eukaryota; Metazoa; Chordata; Mammalia; Artiodactyla; Balaenopteridae
Exons: 3
Source: RefSeq, a predicted model, not a curated record
CUCGUGGCGCGCAGGGGCGCAGGCGCACUGCCGGGUCCGUCCUGGGUGCGCGUCCGGGGGCGGCGCGGCAAAGGAGAGGCAGAGAUGUCGAGCAGCUUGCCCGAGGCCGUCCAGCACCCAGAAUGGCAAAGUCCGAGCCCUGCCCUGUGAAAGUGCCCCUGGAUGACAGGUCCGUGAGGCAAACUCUGUCGUGAAGUAAAUGGAGCUUCCAGAGGCCGGACGUUACAGGGAAACGAGCUCUUCCUGCCCGGGAAGCUGCUUUUGCCCAGGAGGGUGGAGAGGAUGGCUGCUGGGUGCCUGCUCCCCUGGCCCCAGUGGGGCUUCCUCUUCCCCCGAAAGGCACCCAGUAUGUCCAGAGGGAACACACCUGUCAGAAGCGCAGUGCCCUUGCUUUGUGGGAAAGACGGGAGAAUUCACCAUGAGCGUCUGGGUCCAGGCACUCGGUCUCCUCCUAAGUGUAGGGAGAGGUGCACUGUAUCCCCAGAGGAGGGCGGCUGUGCUUCCUUCCCAGGGCCUGGAGCAUCUCUGCACCACCUGAAGACCCUGCAGUUUCUCCCAUAGGGCAGGGAGGGCCCCCCGCCAGGUGCCAUCCUCUUUAAAACAUUUAUAUUUUUUAAAAUUUCGGUGAAAUACACAUAACAUUACAUUUAUCAU